GAGUUUACAACUCCCAAACCCCUGUGAAUAUACCUUUGUUGCUUCGGCGGAUCGCCCCGGGCGCUUUUGUGCCCCGGAGUCAGGUGCCCGCCGGAGGACCCAAACUCUUGUUUUACCAGUGGUAUCUUCUGAGUAAUUUUAUAAAUAAAUCAAAACUUUCAACAACGGAUCUCUUGGUUCU
This 181-nucleotide unclassified non-coding RNA is filed under the name rhizosphere metagenome. Its description in RNAcentral is "partial ribosomal RNA internal transcribed spacer region". The record is from RNAcentral.